CCUACGGGUGGCAGCAGUGAGGAAUAUUGGUCAAUGGUCGUAAGACUGAACCAGCCAAGCCGCGUGAGGGAUGAAGGUACAGAGUAUCGUAAACCUCUUUUGUCAGGGAACAAAGGCGGGGACGUGUCCCCGGAUGAGUGUACCUGAAGAAAAAGCAUCGGCUAACUCCGUGCCAGCAGCCGCGGUAAUACGGAGGAUGCGAGGGUUAUCCGGAUUUAUGGGGUUUAAAGGGUGCGAAGGCGGUCUGUUAAGUCAGCGGUAAAAGCCCGGGGCUCACCCCCGGCCCGCCGUUGAAACUGGCAGUCUCGAGUUGGAGAGAGGUAUGCGGAAUGCGUGGUGUAGCGGUGAAAUGCAUAGAUAUCGCGCAGAACUCCGAUUGCGAAGGCAGCAUGCCGGCUCCACACUGACGCUGAGGCACGAAAGCGUGGGUAUCGAACAGGAUUAGAUACCCUAGUAGUC
Molecule: ribosomal RNA, 459 nt
Filed under: uncultured bacterium
Lineage: Bacteria
Description: partial 16S ribosomal RNA
Rfam family: Bacterial small subunit ribosomal RNA
Source: RNAcentral